This 2025-nucleotide long non-coding RNA is filed under the name Lucilia cuprina (Australian sheep blowfly). RNAcentral's name for it is "uncharacterized LOC124420760". The record is from RNAcentral. Lineage: Eukaryota; Metazoa; Arthropoda; Insecta; Diptera; Calliphoridae.
CAUACAUAUGUACGUACAUUAUUUGCUGUAAAGUCUCGAAUUAACAUAGUAGCGGAUAUUAUAUUUUUCUGAAACCCCAUUUACACAUACACGAAAUCUAGUAGAUUUUAUUUAAAAUCUUUUUGGAAAUCUAGUCCGUUUACAAUUACUCUUCUUGAUAUUUAGGAAGAUUUCAUUUUUUUUAAUAUUUCUCGAAAAAGUGCGUGAUAUGAAAAACUAGAAGAUUAACUUCCCAGCAAAAAAAAUUGAAGUUGUUCAAUAAGAAGGUAUUCACGUUUUCUCUAGUACGUAAUCUAGUUAAUGACAAAAUUCUAAUAAAUUUUUCAUAAGGCAUGAACAAUUGCACCCAAUUCACUCAUGUGAAACUCUAUUAUAGCCCAGCAAAUAAUAAUUGAUGUCAUACUUUACAAAUGACAUCUUAAUCACAUCUAAAAAUGUGAUUAUAUAUUAAAUAUUAAAUAUUUCCUUACAAAUGAAAACCCAGUUGAAAAUGAUGAAAGAGAUGUAGAAAAGUCACUACAUAUAACAUAUUCGAACUACAUAAAACUUUGGUGAAAAACCAAUGAAAUUAACAUAAGCAUGUCAUUAAACGAAUUCGGUUUAUUUUUGACAUCCAAAUAUCGGAUUUUUAUUACAUCUAUUAAUAAGAUUAGAUGUAGUUUAUAGUUGUUAAAAAUGAAUAACAUCCCUCCAAUGACACGCUAAUGUAAAAUUCACAGGUUUUUCAUCAAAAUUGCAAGUACUUCAAGUAUGUUAUUUGUGGUGAAAAUUCUACUUCUUUUUCCUCACUUUUUUUGAUGGGAAGAAAAGAAUAUACCAAGUUGGUUGAAUGUUUAACAGAUUUUAAAAUAUAUUGGAUAUUUUUACUCUGAAUGUUUUAUUUUGUUAUCAUAAAUAUAGUGCACCAAUGAAAAUUCGCAUUAGAAUCAUCGAAUGUUCAUUGGUUAUAAGCACUCAUUUUAAUGACGAGCUAUAUUUCCAAAUACGAACCCAUGCUCGAUUGUUUAUCUACACCAAUUAAUAAAUCGUUUAAAUUUGUUGUUAAAUUAAAAUUCGACAAAAUAAGUGUUCAAUUUGCAAAAAAUAAUUGUGUUAUCAAAUUCUACACAUUGAGCUUCAUGACACAGAACAUUACAUAGCAUAUUUCCUCGUACAGUACAUUCGAUUUUGAACAUGACAUGAAACAAUAAUUUCCUUUAAAGUCCAAUUAUCUGACAUGGAACAUCACAUAGGAUAUUUCCUCGUCCAGUACAUUCGAUUCUGAAUACGACCAAAAACUUCUUAUAUUAUCUUUAGCUUAGUUAGUUAGUAACUAACUAUAUUUAGCUUAAUGCUUAAUUAUAAAACAUUUCUUUUUAUAUUAGAUAGAAAUUGAAUUCUUCAAGUUUCUAUAAUUUGGGAAUCAUUUGUUUCAAUACUCGGUUUUCAUUUGUAAGAAAAUAUUUGGUUUAUAAAAGCGUAAAAUAUAUAAUCGUAAUAAUUUACUGGAACAACACUCAUAAAAUGUCAAUCAAAAUAAAAAUAAGUGUAAUUUCCGUUUCCAUUUCGAAAAGAUCUGCAUUGGAAAUUUACAAAAUAUGCAAAACAUAAAGUAAAUAGAUUUAAAAACUAGGUCAUGAUACAACCAUUACCAGGUAGAAUCAGUAGAAAGAGUUGUCGUAUUUCUGCCUUAUUAAGUUAUACCGAAUGAACUGAAAAUAAAACAACUACAAAAUGUCCAAAUAAAAACUACGAAAAUACCAUGGAAUGAUUCUCGAACACACACGCAAACAACAUUACACACUUUUAUAUCCUGUUUUUGUUUUAUUGGCUUUGCAAUAUUUUUUAUUAAUUUAUAAACAUUAACGUACUUUUCUACCUAUUCUAUGUUAUUAUAGUUAUGUUUAGUUUAGUUUAGUUUAUUCAUUCUUAUACAGAAUCCUAGCCAAAGGCCAUAAUCGGAUCCAAUAACACUACUUAAUUAGACAACAUUCAAUUUUAAUAAAAUAACAAUAAUAAUAAAAGUAAAUAAAUAAAGAAUAUAAA